RNAcentral lists this ribosomal RNA (943 nucleotides) under Burkholderia sp. VG1_2C_pre. RNAcentral's name for it is "bacterial SSU rRNA". It matches the Rfam family "Bacterial small subunit ribosomal RNA", at positions 316 to 1257 of the family's 1533-position model. The record is from RNAcentral. Lineage: Bacteria; Pseudomonadati; Pseudomonadota; Betaproteobacteria; Burkholderiales; Burkholderiaceae.
GGACUGAGACACGGCCCAGACUCCUACGGGAGGCAGCAGUGGGGAAUUUUGGACAAUGGGGGCAACCCUGAUCNNGCAAUGCCGCGUGUGUGAAGAAGGCCUUCGGGUUGUAAAGCACUUUUGUCCGGAAAGAAAACCUCGGUCCUAAUACGGCGGGGGGAUGACGGUACCGGAAGAAUAAGCACCGGCUAACUACGUGCCAGCAGCCGCGGUAAUACGUAGGGUGCAAGCGUUAAUCGGAAUUACUGGGCGUAAAGCGUGCGCAGGCGGUCCGCUAAGACAGAUGUGAAAUCCCCGGGCUUAACCUGGGAACUGCAUUUGUGACUGGCGGGCUAGAGUAUGGCAGAGGGGGGUAGAAUUCCACGUGUAGCAGUGAAAUGCGUAGAGAUGUGGAGGAAUACCGAUGGCGAAGGCAGCCCCCUGGGCCAAUACUGACGCUCAUGCACGAAAGCGUGGGGAGCAAACAGGAUUAGAUACCCUGGUAGUCCACGCCCUAAACGAUGUCAACUAGUUGUCGGGUCUUCAUUGACUUGGUAACGUAGCUAACGCGUGAAGUUGACCGCCUGGGGAGUACGGUCGCAAGAUUAAAACUCAAAGGAAUUGACGGGGACCCGCACAAGCGGUGGAUGAUGUGGAUUAAUUCGAUGCAACGCGAAAAACCUUACCUACCCUUGACAUGUAUGGAUCCCUGNUGAGAGGUGGGGGUGCCNGAAAGGGAGCCAUAACACAGGUGCUGCAUGGCNGUCGUCAGCUCGUGUCGUGAGAUGUUGGGUUAAGUCCCGCAACGAGCGCAACCCUUGUCCCUAGUUGNUACGCAAGAGCACUCCAGGGAGACUGCCGGUGNCAAACCGGAGGAAGGUGGGGAUGACGUCAAGUCCUCAUGGCCCUUAUGGNUAGGGCUUCACACGUCAUNCAAUGGUCGGAACAGAGNGUCGCCAACCCG